Long non-coding RNA from Populus trichocarpa (black cottonwood), 1858 nucleotides. RefSeq lists it as uncharacterized. The record is from RefSeq and is a predicted model, not a curated record. NCBI's taxonomy places the organism in Eukaryota, Viridiplantae, Streptophyta, Magnoliopsida, Malpighiales, Salicaceae. The transcript has 2 exons.
AAAGGGACAUGGAGGCCACCAUCCUUCCUAAGGAGUCGUUUGGAUUUUUAAUAAAGCUGAGAUCUUUAAAUAUUGAGAAAAGCACUCUCUCAACUUGAUUUUCCUCUCCCUCUUUUUUUUUUUUUUUUCUUUUUGAAGAAGAAAAAUUAGAAUCCGAUUGCAAUUGUGCAAUGAAAUUGUCAUUUCCUGGGGAUAUUAUCUUAAUUUGUGUACAGAUAGAAAAGAAAAGGAAACAUAUUUGAUUGAAGAUAAAACACAAGGUAAAUCAGUUUUCAGAUAAUUUUAAAAUCAAAACUAGAAAAUAUAUUCACUUUAUCUGAGCAGUUUCCAAACAUUGCCUAAGAGUUGUACGCUAUGUUAUGGGUCACAAAAGAAAGAGCAAUGUGAAGUCUUGACGACAAAAGUAAUGGCCCAAUUGCAAGCCGGCCGAUCCUUAUGGAGAAGAAGCAGCCGACAAGAACCCCAAAGAUCUUAACAGAUAAGAAACCAUAUAAGCUGGCUUGGUAUAGAGGUCAUGUAUCCGUCCGACCAAUCGAUGAAGUAAAGUUCCAGAGCAGAUCAAUUAUAAUUUAGGUACUAACGAACAAGAGAGUUCUUAUACCUGUUGAUUCCACAGUGUAAUCAACGGGUAUAAUCUUCAGGAGUUGUUUUUUGCUUCCUCUCUUUUCUCAAUCCAAUGAUGGAAAUUGUAGAUGCGAACCUUUUCUGAUCAAUUCCUUCCUGUGCUCUCAAUUCAGAUGCUGCCGAUCUUUUUCCCUUCCAUGGCUAUGUCUUAGAACAAAGAGUUUCUAGUGGCAAGCAGAAGCACCAAGGCAUGUUGAUCUAGCCAAUGUUGCAGAGGAAGAUAAUGUAGUCUCUGGUUUUCAUGUCAUAAACUAGGCCCGGAUCCAUUGCUUUGGAAGGGUGUAUGUGGCCAGCACCAAUGUCAAAGGGGUCGGAAACUUUCCUUGAUCCUCCAGCUAGGAUGCUGUCAAAUGUGUUGUCCCUUGUAUAUGCUGGUGAGAGAACAGAACAAAGUGACAAACUUUCACACAUGCCAUUAAAUCAUACAAAAUCUUUGUUUUCCACUAGGAAAUGUGGAUGCUGGAUUUUAAGCUUUUAGCUGUAAACCAAUGAAGAAGUGUUUUGGGGAGGAUUUGGGGUCUUUUAGAAUCUUCUUCCACAUCCUAUUCUAUCCAAGGUUCAACUUCUAUAAAAAAAAAAAAAGCGAGGAAAGCAAAGGAAAUAAGCAAAUUAGGUGACCUUGUAGUGAAGUCCAGUAGCAUUAUAGGCAUGCACCGUAUGGUCCAUGGACAACAAUAGCAUUGUGUGAACGGUACAGGAAAGGGUUUCUUUUUUACCUGUGGUCAUUACAGCAGAUCUAAUGGCUGCGGGAGACCAAUCAGGGUGAGCUGAUUUGAGAAGUGCGACUACUCCAGACACAUGAGGGCAUGACAUUGAUGUUCCUGAUUGAAAGUUCCAAUUCACACGGCGAUCAUCAAAUGGUAACAAUGUUGGAGAAGUCUUGGCGGGCCAUGCUGCCAAUAUGGUAACUCCUGGAGCAGUUACAUCUGGCUGUCAUGAGAAAAUAAAUAGGAAAAAUGAAGAGAGCACAAGGAAGCCGACUGUAAUUGUGUAAACUGGAUAUUUUUUGCAAGAAGCAUACCUUGAGGAUGUCAGGAGAAAUUGGACUCGGGCCUCUAGAAGAGAAGGAUGCUACAACAGGUGCUGGUGACUUUCCAAUAGCUGUUUUACUCGGCAAUAUCUUCACCACAGGAUUCCUUCAUGGUCCAAAACUUUCAUGUUAGAAACUGGUCGAGUUUGUUCUGUAACAACAGUGUAUUGUUUUCUAGUUCUAUUAGCUGUUCCCAUCCAUUAA